UAAAAUCACCAACUAAAAUCAACCUAGUGGUAUAUUAUAAAUCUUUCGCUUCUCCCUGUGCAAAUCUCAGAGGCGCUUACCAUAAUUGCUUCACGAGGUCCUCUCUCUCUUCUCGCUCUAAAAUCUAUCUCAAAAAGUUAUAAUGGGUAUCGUUUUUGUCCGCAGGUUGUACCCGGAGAAGGAUCUAAGAUUUUUGGUUUUUAAAGAGCAGCAGGCGAAGUUGGGGAGGAUACGUGUAGAUGUAGCAAUUGUUUUGUAAGCGCCAAAAACUGUGCAUGGGCCAGGGUUAGCAGUUGCUAUUUCAUCCCAUAGAUGGCGACGCUAUUCUUAUUGAGUAAUCUUCGAAGAAAGUUACCUCUUCAGAGAAGUACUCUGGCAGCAUUCGUUAAGCACUCUCCCUUUACUUUU
Molecule: small RNA, 408 nt
Filed under: Malus domestica (apple)
Lineage: Eukaryota; Viridiplantae; Streptophyta; Magnoliopsida; Rosales; Rosaceae
Description: sRNA MD09G0242600
Source: RNAcentral